ACGGCGAGUGAAGCGGGAAAAGCUCAAAUUUUAAAUCGAAUAGGNUACCUUAUUCGAGUUGUAUUUUCAAGAGACGUUUUCGGAUCGCGCCUGGGUAUAAGUCCUUUGGAACAGGGCAUCAUAGAGGGUGAGAAUCCCGUUUAUGACCCGGAGCGGCUGUCUAUGUGAUACGUUUUCAAAGAGUCAGGUUGUUUGGGAAUGCAGCCUAAAAUGGGUGGUAAAUUUCAUCUAAAGCUAAAUAUUGGCGAGAGACCGAUAGCGAACAAGUACCGUGAGGGAAAGAUGAAAAGAACUUUGAAAAGAGAGUUAAACAGUACGUGAAAUUGUUGAAAGGGAAACGUUUGAAAUCAGUCAUGUAAACGAGUAAUCAGCUUGGCUUUUGCCUUGUGCACUUUCUCGUUAGCAGGUCAGCGUCAGUUUUGAUACUAGUCGGAUAAAAAAUUAAGGGAAUGUGGCUCUCUUUUACGAGGGAGUGUUAUAGCCCUGAUUAUAAUACGAUGGUUAAGACUGAGGUCUGCAGCCAAUACCCUUCAUUGGG
Molecule: ribosomal RNA, 538 nt
Filed under: Endogone pisiformis
Lineage: Eukaryota; Fungi; Mucoromycota; Endogonomycetes; Endogonales; Endogonaceae
Description: eukaryotic LSU rRNA
Rfam family: Eukaryotic large subunit ribosomal RNA
Source: RNAcentral